UUAAGCUUUAAUAUGUUUAAUUCCAUCCUCUCCUUUCCCUUGUUUGUUUACAUUCAGCAUUUUUCUUUAAACAUUAACAUGUUAAUUCUUUUCCCCUGUUUCCCUCACCUGUUUGUGUAUUUCAUUUAAGCUAUGGCAUGUUUAAUCCCUUUGCCCUGUUCCCUUGUCUGUUUAUGUUAAGCUUUAGCAUGCUUAAUUUCCUU
This 203-nucleotide long non-coding RNA is filed under the name Nicotiana benthamiana. RNAcentral describes it as "long non-coding RNA (NBEN_LNC007254)". Lineage: Eukaryota; Viridiplantae; Streptophyta; Magnoliopsida; Solanales; Solanaceae. The record is from RNAcentral.